Molecule: ribosomal RNA, 468 nt
Filed under: uncultured bacterium
Lineage: Bacteria
Description: partial 16S ribosomal RNA
Rfam family: Bacterial small subunit ribosomal RNA
Source: RNAcentral
GACGAACGCUGGCGGCGUGCUUAACACAUGCAAGUCGAACGGAAAGGCCCUGCUUAUGUGGGGUGCUCGAGUGGCGAACGGGUGAGUAACACGUGAGUAACCUGCCCUUGACUGUGGGAUAACUUCAGGAAACUGGGGCUAAUACCUGAUAGGAGUUCCUGCUGCAUGGUGGGGGUUGGAAAGUUUCGGCGGUUGGGGAUGGACUCGCGGCUUAUCAGCUUGUUGGUGGGGUAGUGGCUUACCAAGGCUUUGACGGGUAGCCGGCCUGAGAGGGUGACCGGCCACAUUGGGACUGAGAUACGGCCCAGACUCCUACGGGAGGCAGCAGUGGGGGAUAUUGCACAAUGGGCGGAAGCCUGAUGCAGCAAAGCCGCGUGCGGGAUGACGGCCUUCGGGUUGUAAACCGCUUUCGCCUGUGGCGAAGCGUGAGUGACGGUAAUGGGUAAAGAAGCACCGGCUAACUACGUG